Molecule: ribosomal RNA, 460 nt
Filed under: uncultured bacterium
Lineage: Bacteria
Description: partial 16S ribosomal RNA
Rfam family: Bacterial small subunit ribosomal RNA
Source: RNAcentral
CCUACGGGAGGCAGCAGUGAGGAAUAUUGGUCAAUGGACGCGAGCCUGAACCAGCCAAGUCGCGUGAAGGAUGACGGCCCUACGGGUUGUAAACUUCUUUUAUAAAAGAAUAAAGUGCGACACGUGUGCCUUUUUGUAUGUACUUUAUGAAUAAGGAUCGGCUAACUCCGUGCCAGCAGCCGCGGUAAUACGGAGGAUCCGAGCGUUAUCCGGAUUUAUUGGGUUUAAAGGGAGCGUAGAUGGGUUGUUAAGUCAGUUGUGAAAGUUUGCGGCUCAACCGUAAAAUUGCAAUUGAUACUGGCAGGCUUGAGUACAGUUGAGGUAGGCGGAAUUCGUGGUGUAGCGGUGAAAUGCUUAGAUAUCACGAAGAACUCCGAUUGCGAAGGCAGCUUACUAAACUGCAACUGACAUUGAUGCUCGAAAGUGUGGGUAUCAAACAGGAUUAGAUACCCGAGUAGUC